This 406-nucleotide ribosomal RNA is filed under the name uncultured bacterium. Its description in RNAcentral is "bacterial SSU rRNA". It matches the Rfam family "Bacterial small subunit ribosomal RNA", at positions 355 to 775 of the family's 1533-position model. The record is from RNAcentral.
UGGGGAAUAUUGGGCAAUGGGCGCAAGCCUGACCCAGCAACGCCGCGUGAGGGAAGAAGGCUUUCGGGUUGUAAACCUCUGUCCUUGGUGAUGAAAAAAAUGACGGUAGCCAAGGAGGAAGCCCCGGCUAACUACGUGCCAGCAGCCGCGGUAAUACGUAGGGGGCGAGCGUUGUCCGGAAUUACUGGGCGUAAAGGGUGCGUAGGUGGCCUUUUAAGUUGGAUGUGAAAUCCCCGGGCUUAACUUGGGUGGUGCAUCUAAUACUGGAGGGCUAGAGUGCAGGAGAGGGAAGCGGAAUUCCUAGUGUAGCGGUGAAAUGCGUAGAUAUUAGGAGGAACACCAGUGGCGAAGGCGGCUUUCUGGACUGUAACUGACACUGAGGCACGAAAGCGUGGGGAGCGAACAG